This 101-nucleotide microRNA precursor is filed under the name Marmota monax (woodchuck). Lineage: Eukaryota; Metazoa; Chordata; Mammalia; Rodentia; Sciuridae. The record is from RNAcentral.
AGUGGGAUAGUUGGAUCAUAUAGUGAUUUCAUAGCUUUUUUUAAGCAAUCUUAAUACUGCUUUCCAGAGUGGUUGCACUAAUUUGCAGUCCCACCAACAAU